This 818-nucleotide long non-coding RNA is filed under the name Felis catus (domestic cat). RNAcentral describes it as "lncRNA (ENSFCAG00000044764.2)". Lineage: Eukaryota; Metazoa; Chordata; Mammalia; Carnivora; Felidae. The record is from RNAcentral.
CGGGAGGCGGGGCGGCCCUGGAAGCUGGAGAAAAGUUGCAGGGAUCCGAGCGCCAGCAGCUGCUGGAGCUGGAGCCGCUGGAGCGAGGACCACCCCGCAGCCUCCGGACUUUGUUUGCAGAGCAGCGUGCCACGCUGCAGGGGGAACACGGUUCCCAGCUACCCUUGCAGCUCGCGGUGGUCACGUGACACGGAUCUGCCCAAUGGGAUGCUAAUGAAGGUCUGGAGGCGGGGCUUCUAGGGAAGACCAAGGCCCCGGAUCCAAGAUGGCAGCCCAGGAGAACCGCUGGCACCCGGGUUCUUGGUGGCUCAGCUUCUCGCAUGGGCAUGAAGGUUCCAACCGAGAGCAAGCCUCCGUUGCCCGCGGGUCCCCUGCGGAGUCCCCGAAUUAACUUCCGUGACCAACUCCCCGCCGACUUCAAGCUUGCCUCGCGCUCCUCCCCGUGGUCCUGGCCUGAGCGCCAGGUGCUGUGCUGUGUGCCCCACACCCAGUCCUGCUCCCUGAUGCCCGCGCAGGGCCCCCGCCAGCAGCAGGAGGCACGUGAGCUGCUCUGUUGUGCUCCCCCGGCGGGCAGGGCCUCCCAGAGGGGAUGCCGGGGGAAGUCAUGGCUCAGAGUGGCCCGUGGGGGAGAGGCAGGAAGGGGACUGACACCCCCCCCCCCGGUUCUUCCCAUCUCCCGUCUUCCCUUGGACCGAACUCCCUGCAUUGUGGUUUCAUCUUUUCCCCAGGCUGCCAAACGCAGGUCACUGCAGGAAAGCGUUCUACCGGGGCUGGAGGAGGCUGGAGAGGCUGGAGGCCCAGCGACCACGGCUGUUUAG